GAAUGGAAGAAUUUUCUGAAGUAUAGCAUCUUGAUGAAAUUCAGAUAUUUAUAGGACAGCUUGAAGACAUUAAUUUGUAAGUAAAUGAUGAAGAAUAUGCCAAUAUUGAUAACCUGCAUCUGUUAAGAGGUUUUUUUAAUCAAAUUAUGAGUGAUUUGAUCCAGUUAAGAAGAAAAGAAAAAUCUAAAAAUGAAGAAGACAGCAAUGAGAAAGAAUUCCAGAAACCGAUGCUUUCUUUACUACUUUCUUUCUACUGCUCUACAAGGUACAGGAAUAUUCUAAUCAGAAUACUUUUUCUGGCACAAAUCGAGCGGACCGGGAACUCUUUACACACCUUUGUUGGGAGAAGCGUUUUCGGCGCUGGAACGCCCUCAUCAGCUCAUACAAUCAGUUCGCG
Molecule: long non-coding RNA, 397 nt
Filed under: Androctonus crassicauda
Lineage: Eukaryota; Metazoa; Arthropoda; Arachnida; Scorpiones; Buthidae
Source: RNAcentral